RNAcentral lists this ribosomal RNA (250 nucleotides) under uncultured prokaryote. Its description in RNAcentral is "partial 16S rRNA". It matches the Rfam family "Bacterial small subunit ribosomal RNA", at positions 525 to 775 of the family's 1533-position model. The record is from RNAcentral.
ACGUAGGGGGCAAGCGUUAUCCGGAAUUAUUGGGCGUAAAGAGUGCGUAGGUGGUUUUUUAAGCGUGAGGUGAAAGGCAAUAGCUUAACUAUUGUAAGCCUUGCGAACUGGAAGACUUGAGUGCAGGAGAGGAAAGUGGAAUUCCUAGUGUAGCGGUGAAAUGCGUAGAUAUUAGAAAGAAGACCGGUGGCGAAGGCGACUUACCAAGCUGUUACUGACGCUGAUGCACGAAAGUGUGGGGAGCAAACAG